Long non-coding RNA from Neopsephotus bourkii (Bourke's parrot), 1962 nucleotides. RefSeq lists it as uncharacterized. NCBI's taxonomy places the organism in Eukaryota, Metazoa, Chordata, Aves, Psittaciformes, Psittacidae. The transcript is spliced from 3 exons. The record is from RefSeq and is a predicted model, not a curated record.
CACUCUGCCUCCAUUUGCUUUUAUAGACAUGACUUCAAGGCAUGACCUCAGUGGUAGCACUUGUCAGUUGGGAGCUCAGAUAGCCUUGGGCUGGAAGCAGGCUCAGCCUUGCUCCUGCUUCCCCUCCUUGCCCCAACUCUGAUCUGCCCAGUGCUUUGUAUCAUAGCCUCGAUGUCGAGGGAUACUUUGUGCUGCUGAUUGUCUCACUUCUACAAGGAAAGAAUCAGGGCACUUGGCACCUGAUAGCGAGACCUCCUUUCACUAUUUACUCAUGUACAGGAGGCAUGGGAAUGAAAUGAGGAUAAGAGAUGCUGACACCAUGUUUCAUCCUGCACAGGCAACACUGCUGCUGGUGGAGUUGAUUGCAAUCCACUGGGAAAUACUUGGCGCUCUGGUAGCUCCAGAAACCAGGAGACAACCUAAUUACUUCUUGCAUUCUGCACAUAAAUUAUUGCUCCCAAACAUUUAAAGGAGACAGGAAGGGAUGCUGGGAAAGGUGCUAAAGGAACCGUUCUUCAUCCACAGUGGGCAUGUGCAUGAUCAGAAAUGGAAGGACUGAUGCUGCAAUGUCACCAGUGGUUGUCACGAGGAAGCUUCUUGGCCUCUGAGUGCGUCCCAGCUUGUUGAGGUCACUCCUGCAAGAUGGGGUGGCAAUAGGAAUGACUGGGAUUAAAUUCACUUUGGAAUGAAAAGAUCUCCUUGACUCAAGAGGAUCUGAAGUGUAGAGGGGUUUGCUCGUCUUAGGGUUUCUUGAGAUGGACCCGACUUUCAUCUUUUCACUUAACAUAUUGCCCCCACUGAACACACAUACACAAAGAUCCUCUCCUGCAUUAAACUGAAUGAUCACAUCCAGCUACCUGAAAAGCUGCCUUGCAAAAAAUCCCUUGCCGAGCAUAAAAUAAAACCAGAGGACCCCUUCUCGCCUUCAUUCUUAGAGGAAAAGAUUCAGAAACAACAGGAUUUAUGGAAAUUCCUUAGAAGAAGAUGAGAGUUUGAGCUUCAUCUUCCUUAAAUAGCCCUCUGUGAGGCUUAAGAAAGCUUUUCGCACAUGCUGAGCUUUCAGAGCCAUGGGCCAGGUUCCCCCCAAGGCACUGAUCUUGCACAGCUCAGUAAAAUGCAGAGGUUGGCUAAAUCUGAGCUCCAAAUCGCAUCACUAACACGGAUGCACCGCAUCCAAAACAGCGUGUCCAGCACUGACCCACCACAUCUGUCACACUGACCUUCACCCACCAGGUCACUUGUCAGCAGCUCCACAUUCCCAGCUGGUGCCGUGCUGGAGGAUGGAAAUGAGCCUGUUUGAGCUGACGGGAGCUCAGCAGAAACUCAUCAGCAGAUGAGCAAAGUUUACAGCUCAGAUGAAAGGCUUUAGAACUUGUCUCGGGGAGGUUCGGGGCCCUUUGUGCCCUGUUGAUGGAAUUCCAUCACCUUGUAACUGUGACAGGUUAUAAUCAAGCUGCCCGAUUUGAAUCUUGUCCAUAGCUAGGAGUUUUAAUUUGAUAUUCAUCAUUUGCUCCAUCUGGAUCAUGAAUGCCUGCUAAAAGGAAAGCCUCCCUGACCUGCUUCCUCUGGGCAACGGGCUAACUUCCUCGUGCAGCCAGCCAGCAAUUGAGGUGUUUCAGUGUUGGUACCCAAGAGAUGGAUGUUAAGGGCAAGUGGUUCAUCAGAAAGGCUUUUUACUCUUUGCUGGACUACCUAAGAGGAAAAGGCAUUAAACAUCCAGGCUAAUCACCUGUGUGAUAGCACUCCACAUUGUGAGUUUCAUGUGGCUCCUGAUGGAGAAAUUAUCACUGUAGGACCUAAAAAAGGGUCAGUUGUGCUCAGUAGGCAGGACUGUGUCCUGAGAGAUCCUUCAGCUGGAGCACAAAGGCCUCCAGCAAAAGAAGUAAGACUAUUCAACCAGAAGGUGUGCUUCAAACACUUCAUCAGGGUCACAGAGCAAAGGUAAGCCUUCUGUCUGGAAGU